Molecule: long non-coding RNA, 1916 nt
Filed under: Zea mays
Lineage: Eukaryota; Viridiplantae; Streptophyta; Magnoliopsida; Poales; Poaceae
Description: long non-coding RNA (ZMAY_LNC004262)
Source: RNAcentral
UUCCUUUUCACGUUAUCACUAAGACACUAACACGUGUGGGGCCGGGCAAACAGAGUCAUCUCCUCCACGUACGGGGAAAGCGCGGCGAAUCCCAACAACCUCUCCCAAAAGAUCUCCAGUUGGUCGAGCCCCUGCCCUAUAUUAGCAAGCCAAACUCUGGGCGCCCUCCCUCGUCCAUCCUGUACCACCACCGUCGUGAUCGGAGCACGAAACCAAGCCGAGCGAACACCAGUCAUCAAGCGGGCGAGUCGUCGUGAAAGAGAGAGGCGCCGCCGUGGGUGGGAUCGCCGAUUCGUUGAUGUUGGGAAUCCCGGUGCGAGCCUGGGAGCGUCAAGAAAGGCUUGAGGAAUCUGCAGGGCGUGUCGUCGCGCGGGGAGAUUGUCCUGACCCCGGGAAAUUCCUCUCCGGGGAUCGGUAUCGCGGCUUAGCCGCCGUGUGCCGGCGAUGCGAGUCUGCGCUUCAUGGCUGUCGGUGAGGACCUCCCUGCCUUGAUCGCCAACUCUCUGAAUAAAGUUGUGUUAGUAGUAUCGUUAGUGGUGCGUCAGGGCGGCCAAUCGGAGUUCCCGGCAAUAGCGCCAUCGUGAGGGGCGAGGCGGCAAUGCCAGACAUCGUUGUGUUGGGUAGUGAUGGCCAGGGUUCGUCCAAUCUGUGUUGGACAGUAUGGAUUGCACGAUUGAAUCUUAUGGUUUAAAAUCCUAUCCGUAGAUCCAGAGAUCAUUGGCUUAGGUCAUAUACCCCUUCUGCCUAGGGUUUUUUUUUUUGCAAAAGAGACCUCCAAUAUUUUUAUAAUAAACCCACCAUCCCCUUUACGUUAAAAGUAACUAAAAAGAGUCUAAGUAUUUAUGAAUAGCACCCUUUUAUAUAAAUAGUGCCCGCAGUCCAAUAAAGCCCAGGAAAUUAUAAAUUAAAUCUAAAAAUGAUUCUUAGUAUAAAAAAAUUAUAAAAUCUUAGAAAAAUCAUAUCUUCCGCGAUUUAGCUCCGUUUUAGUCCGUUCAAACUGUGUUGGCUCAGUAAUAAAAUUACCUACGUUGUAACAACAUUAUAUUUAUCAUAUCAUACAUUUUUAUUGUUAGAUAUUUAUUUAUCCAAUGUUUAGUAGAUUAAAUCUAGCUAAUCAAAGUUAAUAUGUCUAUGGUUAUAGUCUAACUGAAAUAUAAUCUAUAAUCAAGUCAUAGCUUAGAUUGAAAUUGAAUUAGUUAUUUCUUUAAUAUCUUUAUCACAUGAUUUAUAAAAUCAACAUAAGACCUAGAUUUAAUUGGUUAAUCACGUAGGUCUUCCAGAAACCAUAUCUUUUUAAUCAAAACUCUGAAUUUAGUAGUUCUCGAACCUACAGUUUCGUAACGAUGCGUAGAAUACUUUUACGCAGUUUGUUCAUAUGCUUUAGUGUAAUGUUACCAUACCCAUUAUUUGCUUUAUUGUAUGUAUUUCUACGCAUAGAAGUGUGGUGGCGAGAAAUCUGAAGACCCACUUGGUGAAGCACCUGGAAUCGCAAGUAUAAGGCAAGCUAUGCCCUUGAUCACUCUUCUUUAACUAAUAUUGUUCCUAUUAAUCGCUGUGACAUGCUCAGGUUAACUUGAUUGGAGGCUCGAUCUAGGAAGAAGCUAUAAGGCAGAAUAAUCGAUGUCGAUUAGAGGCUAGAAUCGGCACUAAAGUUAAGAAUUUAGUACCAGUUGGUUGAUAGAACAUAUACUUAAUAUAGUAGUACCGAUUUAUGUAUGAAACUAUUAUUAAAUCCUUAACUUUAGUACCGGUUCUAAACACCAAUGGUACUAAACCCAAUGGCAGGUGCAACCGGUAAUGAACCUUCCAUUAAUUUUUGUGCCUUCCAUUAAUUUUUAUACCGGUUUUUGGCUACAACCCAUACUAUUCUUGCCAUGGCCGUAGACAGCCUCCAUGAGUCCAUGGGUUUAAUUCUU